Molecule: ribosomal RNA, 778 nt
Filed under: uncultured Neocallimastigales
Lineage: Eukaryota; Fungi; Neocallimastigomycota; Neocallimastigomycetes; Neocallimastigales
Description: partial large subunit ribosomal RNA
Rfam family: Eukaryotic large subunit ribosomal RNA
Source: RNAcentral
UACGACUACAUAUCAGGCAUAUCAAUAAGCGGAGGAAAAGAAACCUAACUAGGAUUCCCUUAGUAACGGCGAGUGAAGCGGGAAGAGCUCAAAUUUGAAAUCUUCAAGGUUUUACCUUGACGAAUUGUAGUUUAAAGAAGUGUUUUCUGUUGAAGUUUUCGGUAAAAGUUCUUUGGAAUAGGACAUCAUAGAGGGUGAGAAUCCCGUAUUUGACCAUUUAUUUCCAGCUGUGUGAUACACUUUCAAAGAGUCGGAUUGUUUGGGAAUGCAGUCCAAAAUGGGUGGUAAAUUUCAUCUAAAGCUAAAUAUUGGCGAGAGACCGAUAGCGAACAAGUACCGUGAGGGAAAGAUGAAAAGAACUUUGAAAAGAGAGUUAAACAGUACGUGAAAUUGUCAAAAGGGAAGCGUUUGACACCAGUGUUGUUUUCUCGAAAAUUAAUUAAAAAUGACCGGAUUUUGUGUUGUAUUGACUUUAUCAGCUUUCUGCACUUUUUUCUUGUCUUUUUUAAUGCACUUUUCGUUUAACAAGUCAACAUCAAUUUCUUUUGUUGUAAAAGGAGUCAUUGGAAGGUGGCUUUCACUUCGGUGAAAGUGUUUAUAGCCUUUGACUUCUGCAAUCGGAAAGAUUGAGGUCUGCAGCGUAGAUCCUUCGGGGUUAGAUACAUUUGUGCUAAGUUAUAGUUUUUCAUAGACAACAUGUUGACUAUGAUUAAUCAUGUAGCUUACUCGCUUAUGCUAUUUUACCUACGCUUAGGAUGUUGAUCUCUCACAGUCGAGC